GAGUCUGCAGAUCAACUUUUAGGACUGAGAAAUAAAAGGAGAGAGAAUAGACUCUGGGCAAAAUUGGAAAAUAAGGGUACUCAAGCCUACUCUAAGCUUGGACCUAAAGAAGAAGAAUUCAGUAACUCUCUAUAAUAAUGAAGAGAAUCUCACACAGUGGGCCGCACACUCAAUUAUCUUCAGCGGAGUCCCAGGAAGCAGAGCAGUACAGUGAGACUGAAAUCAUUAUGUGGACGAAAUUCAUUACGCCAGGACUUGCCCCUCCAUGAAACAGCACUCCACAGCCAAUUGGAAUUCAUGGUCACAGACCUUUAUUGGAUCAUCAUGCUUUAUUGUCCAUAGCAAAUACAAAUACAGAGAGGAACAAUAACGACAUGAUACAUCCGACCUGCAAUUCCACCUUCAAAAGCUUUGCCCAAUGAACUCGAGUCCAGGUCACACGAGCCAGAAGCAGGAGAGGGACUUGCUGGCUUGAGCCUUGAGAAGACCUCCCCUCUGCCCUGAUUUUAUACCCUGCCAUCAGGAUAUGAUGUACCCUGGCACUGAUGUACAUCCAGGGAAGAAAGCUAGAGUUCACUUGUGGCAUAACAGAACCAGCUUCUGAAUAUAAAAGAAAAAUAUUGUAUAUAAAGUCAA
Antechinus flavipes (yellow-footed antechinus) is the source of this 636-nucleotide long non-coding RNA. RefSeq lists it as uncharacterized. Lineage: Eukaryota; Metazoa; Chordata; Mammalia; Dasyuromorphia; Dasyuridae. The transcript has 3 exons. The record is from RefSeq and is a predicted model, not a curated record.